GCCUAGGAAUCUGCCUGGUAGUGGGGGAUAACGUCCGGAAACGGACGCUAAUACCGCAUACGUCCUACGGGAGAAAGCAGGGGACCUUCGGGCCUUGCGCUAUCAGAUGAGCCUAGGUCGGAUUAGCUAGUUGGUGGGGUAAUGGCUCACCAAGGCGACGAUCCGUAACUGGUCUGAGAGGAUGAUCAGUCACACUGGAACUGAGACACGGUCCAGACUCCUACGGGAGGCAGCAGUGGGGAAUAUUGGACAAUGGGCGAAAGCCUGAUCCAGCCAUGCCGCGUGUGUGAAGAAGGUCUUCGGAUUGUAAAGCACUUUAAGUUGGGAGGAAGGGCAGUAAAUUAAUACUUUGCUGUUUUGACGUUACCGACAGAAUAAGCACCGGCUAACUCUGUGCCAGCAGCCGCGGUAAUACAGAGGGUGCAAGCGUUAAUCGGAAUUACUGGGCGUAAAGCGCGCGUAGGUGGUUCGUUAAGUUGGAUGUGAAAUCCCCGGGCUCAACCUGGGAACUGCAUUCAAAACUGACGAGCUAGAGUAUGGUAGAGGGUGGUGGAAUUUCCUGUGUAGCGGUGAAAUGCGUAGAUAUAGGAAGGAACACCAGUGGCGA
This 607-nucleotide ribosomal RNA is filed under the name uncultured bacterium. RNAcentral's name for it is "bacterial SSU rRNA". It matches the Rfam family "Bacterial small subunit ribosomal RNA", at positions 115 to 718 of the family's 1533-position model. The record is from RNAcentral.